UUCUACUAUCAUUUAUUUCUGAAAGAAAAAUAACAUUGCUUUUGUAUUAUAACAAGUAACUGUUGGCUUAAAAGGACUAGUAUCUUAUUCUGUAGCAGGAGGUUAAAUUGAACCAAGUCAUAUUCGAAGUGGCAUAAGAAUAGUUGCGUCAAGUUAUAAUCGAAAUAUAUAGACAAAAGCUUAAAAUCUCAUUUCGAUAUAACAAAUAUGGAUAAUUACCUAUAUAUCCCUCAUACAUUUGAAAAUAUCCAAUUUACCCCUACUUUUUUUUCUUUUUAAAAUAUCUCUCAUAUGUUCCACUAUUAUUGCAAAAUACUCCCGCAGUUAUCUCAUGUUAAGUUAACCUGGGUUAAACGUGAGUUAAAUAUCUACCACAGUUAAAAAAAAUUAAAAUGCCAGUUUUACUCUUAACUUAAGGGCAAAUAAGAAAUGUUGGUGACGGUAAAGAGGUAUAUUGGAAAAGACCAAAAGUCAAAAUACUUUUUGUGUCCCUGAUUUUAGGGAUAAAUAAGAAAGUCAGUGAUAGUGGAAGAGUAUAUUUGAAAGGGCAAAAUAAUAAUUUUACAGAGUUAACAGAGUUAAUUAACAGAUUUUAACUCUAGGGGUAUAUUAGAAAUAGGUUGGAACGUAAAAAAGGUAUUUUCAAUAUUAACCUUCUAAGAGGGAUAAAUUAAAAAGUUAGAAAUUUUUUAAGGGUAUAUAAGCAAUUGCCCCUAAAAAAUAUAUUGAUCUUGCUGCAGAGUAUAGCAUUAUCUAUUUU
Molecule: long non-coding RNA, 760 nt
Filed under: Ananas comosus (pineapple)
Lineage: Eukaryota; Viridiplantae; Streptophyta; Magnoliopsida; Poales; Bromeliaceae
Description: long non-coding RNA (ACOM_LNC001285)
Source: RNAcentral